Molecule: long non-coding RNA, 2672 nt
Organism: Peromyscus leucopus (white-footed mouse)
Lineage: Eukaryota; Metazoa; Chordata; Mammalia; Rodentia; Cricetidae
Exons: 2
Source: RefSeq, a predicted model, not a curated record
CAAUUGCUCUUUUUAAAAUGUUAUUAUUUAUUUGUGUGCAUGUGCCUAUGUGAGUUUAUGUGUACUACAUGUGUGCGAGUGAGCAGGAAGUCUAGAAGAUGAUGUCAAAUCUCCUAAAACUAGAGCUAUAGGGGUUAUGAGCAGCCAUGUGGGUUCUGGAAACUGAACACAGUCCUGUGCAAGAGCAGCAAGCAUUCUUAAACUCCAGAUGGUUAACUCCACAGCUCCAUUUUAUUUGUUUGUUUGUUUGUUUAUUGUGUGUGUGUGUGUGUGUGUGUGUGUAUGCUCGUUCACACAUGUACAUGUUGAUGCUAUAACAUGCACAUGCAAAGCAGUGGUUCUCAACCUGUGGGUCUCAACCCUUUCUGGGGAUCAAACUACCUUUUCACAGGAGCCUUCUAAGACCAUUGGGGAAACACCAAUAUUUACAUUACGAUUCAUAACAGAGGAAAAUUACAGUUAUGAAGUAGUUACGAAAUGAUUUUAUAGUUAGGGAUCACCACGGCAUGAGGGACUGUGUUCAAGGUUCACAGCACUAGGAAGGUUGAGAACCACUGAGGUAGAGGUCAGAGGACAACUUUCAAGAGUUGGUUCUCCCCUUCUGUCACGUGGGGUCCCGGCUUGGCAGCAAGUAACUUCACCUGCUGAGCGAUGAUCUCACCAGUCCUCCACUUUAGUUUCUUGGCAGAGUGUCUUACUGAGCCUGGAGCUCACGAAUUCAGCUAGACUGGCUGGUCACCAAGCCCUGGGGACCCUCUCGACUCUGCCUCCCCAGAAAUGGCAUUACCGGAGUGUGUCCAGUGGGUACUGGGACCUAAUGCUGGUCCUCGUGCCAGCAAGCACUUGACCGACUGAGCUGUCAGCCCAGCCCUUGGUUUUGAUAUUGGCAGUGGAGGAGGGAGAACCUGGUUAAGGGGUGACUUCACUGUAACCUUCAAAGGGCUCCCCUACAGGGGCAGCCUGUGUUUCGUCCCAAAUGGUCCCAGAUUCCCUAAGCAGCUGACUCCAUCCUGUGAGAUUUCCACAGCUCUGCCCUAUGUACGUACACAGUUGCCAGCAACACAAAGACCAACAAGGGCCAAGCACUAGGCGUCGCGGGGCACUGAGGUGUCUAAGGCUCCACUUACUUAUUUUGGCAAGCGGUUUCCUAGCCCCACCCUUUAGACUUGAAGACCUAAGGUCUCCCAAAUUUGAGUAUUUUGUGCCUAAUAAAUCUUACUUGUGACACUGUUUUUCAGAGCCCAGGCAGACUCUCAAGAGCUGUAUGGCAUCCUUUCUGAAGUACCAAGGGAAAGGCUUUUGCUGAGGUUCCAUGGGGAGCAGAAGUGGACAAGACCAAGCCCUGUGCAAAUACUGCCCAGCAUGAAGGUCACCCAGACAGAUCCUGGGCCACUGCUGUCUCUGUCACCUUAGAGUCUGGAAGAAGAGCCUCUUGCUUCCUACAGUCUCCUGUUCCUCACCCCAUUCCUGAGCCCCUAAGGGUAGAUGUAGCAUUUGUACUAAAUUAUGUUUGCUUUCUGUGUGAAAGGAGCCCAGUUCUCAGACUUUCCUACCAUCUCCUUAGAAUACACCAACUAUCUGCUCCUGAUUCCUGACACCACAAGGCUGAGACCAGCACCAUUCAUGGCUCGGCCUCUGGGCACAGCUUCAGUAUGGGGCAUACAUGGAUCCUUGGCCCCAUGCCGCAUCAGACUCACAGGGAUAGUCUGUCCAGGGUUCCUUCACUGCUUGUCUCUGUGGCCUCCCUACAUCCUCUCCAACAUCUGUUCCAAACCCAUAUUUUCUGAAUGUUCAAAUCAUCUUCUCAAGACUACACCUUAAGACCUGCAGUUCCUCCACAGGCUUAGAGCUAUCUGCAAGGACUUGGCAUCACCCUCCCCCAUAGAAGGACUGGUGAGGGGUUCAGAUCCUGACUUCCACUUCCAAUUCCCUCCCUUUCCAUCCAUCUCCUCUUUCUCCAAAAUCCCUCCUGCCUUCUCCACACCCAGGCCUUUGUUAGGAUACUCCUAGCCCAUCCUCCCGUGAUUGACACCUGAUUGAUGGUUUAUAUAUUUCAGAGAGAUCUAAUUCCCCAGUUGAGAAGGACAGGUAGCUACCAGUCCAUGGACAUGGCAAGAUGUAAUUCCUGUCCUUUGGAGCAUUCAUCACCCCGACCCACACCAUUGCCCUUCUGCAUUCCACUUCAGGAUGUGUCUUUGUCUGGAGUGGGCCCAGCUCACUGAGAACUGAGAACAGUAAUGCCUGCUAAAUGCAUGGGUGAGUGUGCCCAGGCUGUGAGCAUCCUCCAAGGCCCUCUCGUUUUUUUGUCGAGUCCUGCAUCGUUUAUUUCCUUUUGACAAUGUUGCACCAAUAGUCACUUGUAGAGUGGAUCUUCCGCCAGGUACUGCCUUGAGCAUUUGACCAAAUCAGCCUCAGUUUUUCCUAUCAGCUGGGUCGUGGAACAACCCGUACAGAAAGUGCCAAGGAGAUACCAUCCAUACCACUGGUCACCAGUGACCCUGCUGUUCAAACCUAGACCCUGACGUCUGUGCCCUGAGCCUCUGUGCCAUGAUGCUGAGGAGCGGGUCACUCCUAGGGACCUAGCAAAGUCCUCUUUAUUCUCAGAAUCUUCCAUCUUGGGGUCUUUAACCAGGUACCCCUCCCCACUAAUAAACAUUUGUAAGAGGUUUUAA